AAAGGCGAAUACCCUGCCUUGCCCGUGUUUAUAGCUUUUUAAAGCCUUCUAUAUGUAUUGUAUGGAUGCGGUACACGCUUAUUAGAGCUUUCGAAAAAGGGCAAAAGCUUUCGUUGGCCAUCUAUGUUGAGCAGUUAUAGUCUAAAGUAGCGACGAGCAGAGAGAGCUUUUACUCUGCAUGCGUCUAUGCGAAAUUUAUAGAAAGAUUAAACGAGAUUGUCGGUCUA
Molecule: long non-coding RNA, 227 nt
Organism: Rhagoletis zephyria (snowberry fruit fly)
Lineage: Eukaryota; Metazoa; Arthropoda; Insecta; Diptera; Tephritidae
Source: RefSeq, a predicted model, not a curated record